GGGGAUGAAAGGAUUUCGACGGGGAACGAGAGCCGUGGUAAGCGAGCCGAGUGGCGGAAACUCGUAAAUCAGCCGCAGCUUAAAAAGAAACGACAGUAAACCUGUUUUAAAAGCUGCUUAAGCCCAAAAGGCUUGCAGCCGUCUGCCCCGGAUAACUGCGACCGGGAAAUCAGGCGUCAACAGCAGUGACCGUGAACGGAGCAGCACCGCGUAGUCCGUCACGCAAAACGCGGUUGUUGCCUGCGUGAGCCUGCCGUUCGGCGCGCGCAUGGCAGAAAAUCAAAUGACCGGCUACGCUCGAAGAAAGCCUAAGUAAUCGUUUUUCGGACGCGGGUUCGAUUCCCGCCAUCUCCACCA
Molecule: transfer-messenger RNA, 357 nt
Filed under: Clostridium sp.
Lineage: Bacteria; Bacillati; Bacillota; Clostridia; Eubacteriales; Clostridiaceae
Rfam family: transfer-messenger RNA
About the family: Bacterial tmRNA, also known as 10Sa RNA or SsrA, is named for its dual tRNA and mRNA-like properties. Its role is to liberate the mRNA from a stalled ribosome.
Source: RNAcentral